This is a small nucleolar RNA of Manihot esculenta (cassava), 127 nucleotides long. The record is from RefSeq and is a predicted model, not a curated record. Lineage: Eukaryota; Viridiplantae; Streptophyta; Magnoliopsida; Malpighiales; Euphorbiaceae.
AUCCCAGAUAAGCUGAGAUUUGGUGCUUGUCUGAUUCAUGGGAGGCCUAAAUCAACGGUGGAGGUUUCGCUGAUAAUGCCUUCUCUUCUUCUUGGAAGGCAUUUAUUAGUAACUUUUCCAUACAUCU